GGCUCAGGAUGAAUGCUGGCGGCGUGCCUAAUACAUACAAGUCGAGCGGUAACAGGGCUUCACCGUUCCUGACACUCCGGGCCAAGCGCGGGAGGUUGAAUUCGAGGGAACAGUGAAGCUGCUGACGAGCGGCGGACGGCUGAGUAACGCGUGGGAACGGACCCCAAGCUGAGGGAUAACUACUCGAAAGAGUGGCUAAUACCGCAUGUGAUCUUCGGAUUAAAGGAUUUAUCCGGUUUGGGACUGGCCUGCGUACGAUUAGAUAGUUGGCGGGGUAAUAGCCCACCAAGUCGACGAUCGUUAGAUGGUUUGAGAAGAUGAUCAUCCAGACUGGGACUGAGACACGGCCCAGACUCCUACGGGAGGCAGCAGUGGGGAAUCUUCCACAAUGGGCGAAAGCCUGAUGGAGCAACGCCGCGUGCAGGAUGACGGCCUUCGGGUUGUAAACUGCUUUUAUAUCCGAGAAAUAUGAUGGUAAGAUAUGAAUAAGGACCGGCUAACUACGUGCCAGCCGCCGC
This 518-nucleotide ribosomal RNA is filed under the name uncultured bacterium. RNAcentral describes it as "bacterial SSU rRNA". It matches the Rfam family "Bacterial small subunit ribosomal RNA", at positions 21 to 518 of the family's 1533-position model. The record is from RNAcentral.